Molecule: transfer RNA, 58 nt
Filed under: Dipodomys ordii (Ord's kangaroo rat)
Lineage: Eukaryota; Metazoa; Chordata; Mammalia; Rodentia; Heteromyidae
Rfam family: tRNA
About the family: Transfer RNA (tRNA) molecules are approximately 80 nucleotides in length. Their secondary structure includes four short double-helical elements and three loops (D, anti-codon, and T loops).
Source: Rfam by way of RNAcentral
UGACUCAAGUGGUAGAGUACCUGCUUAGCGAGCAGGAGGCCCUGGGUUCAAUCCCCAG